Molecule: transfer RNA, 72 nt
Filed under: Thermothelomyces thermophilus ATCC 42464
Lineage: Eukaryota; Fungi; Ascomycota; Sordariomycetes; Sordariales; Chaetomiaceae
Description: tRNA-Trp (CCA) (tRNA-Trp-CCA-1-1, tRNA-Trp-CCA-1-2)
Rfam family: tRNA
About the family: Transfer RNA (tRNA) molecules are approximately 80 nucleotides in length. Their secondary structure includes four short double-helical elements and three loops (D, anti-codon, and T loops).
Source: RNAcentral
GGGCUUGUGGCGCAACGGUAGCGCGUUCGACUCCAGAUCGAAAGGUUAUCCGUUCAAAUCGGGUCAGGCUCA